RNAcentral lists this ribosomal RNA (497 nucleotides) under uncultured bacterium. RNAcentral describes it as "partial 16S ribosomal RNA". It matches the Rfam family "Bacterial small subunit ribosomal RNA", at positions 28 to 507 of the family's 1533-position model. The record is from RNAcentral.
GAUGAACGCUGGCGGCGUGCCUAAUACAUGCAAGUCGAGCGAACAGACGAGGAGCUUGCGCCUCUGACGUUAGCGGCGGACGGGUGAGUAACACGUGUAUAACCUACCUAUAAGACUGGGAUAACUUCGGGAAACCGGAGCUAAUACCGGAUAAUAUAUUGAACCGCAUGGUUCAAUAGUGAAAGACGGUUUUGCUGUCACUUAUAGAUGGAUCCGCGCCGCAUUAGCUAGUUGGUAAGGUAACGGCUUACCAAGGCGACGAGGCGUAGCCGAACUGAGAGGGUGAUCGGCCACCCUGGAACGGAGACACGGUCCAGGCGCCUACGGGAGGCAGCAGUAGGGAAUCUGCCGCAAUGGGCGAGAGCCUGACGGAGCAACGCGGCGUGAGUGACGAAGGUCUUCGGAUCGUAAAACCCGGUUAUUAGGUAAGAACAAAUGUGUAAGGAACUAUGCACGUCUUGACGGUAACUAAUCAGAAAGCCACGGCUAACUACGUG